This 253-nucleotide ribosomal RNA is filed under the name uncultured bacterium. RNAcentral's name for it is "partial 16S ribosomal RNA". It matches the Rfam family "Bacterial small subunit ribosomal RNA", at positions 524 to 776 of the family's 1533-position model. The record is from RNAcentral.
UACAGAGGGUGCGAGCGUUGUUCGGAAUUAUUGGGCGUAAAGGGCGCGUAGGCGGUGCGGUAAGUCACCUGUGAAAUCUCCCGGCUCAACCGGGAGCUUGCAGGCGAAACUGCCGUGCUGGAGUGUGGGAGAGGUGCGUGGAAUUCCCGGUGUGGCGGUGAAAUGCGUAGAUAUCGGGAGGAACACCUGUGGCGAAAGCGGCGCACUGGACCACAACUGACGCUGAGGCGCGAAAGCUAGGGGAGCAAACAGG